UUCCUCCCAUCUUCUGUUUAGGAAAAUGAUCCCCAGACUGAGUGAUUUCUGGACUCACGCGUCAUCUCCCACCAGCCAUGGGCGGAACGAUAAGCACCCCUCCAUGGCACUCUGCACACCUAUCUGUUAUAGCAGGCUGUAUGCUCAAGGCUAUUCAUCUUUGCAUCCUCAAGGCCUGGGGACAUACCGGGCACAUAACUGGUGCUCAGUAAAUGAUGGGUAUACUACACGGCUCUGCAUGUAGUGAUGACCCGAUAGAUUUAAUCUACAAUGAACUUAAGGCUCGAGGAAAGGACAAAUCACAUGGACUUGGAGUUAAAGAAAAAAGGGGUCAGCUCUGCUGGUUGGUGAUUACUGUUACCUGGAGUGAUAUGAAAUUUUCCGAGAGCAUCUUAUAAAGCAUAUCCUUUGCCUCCUUUGCUGGAAUCAUUGCAAAGUCUUCUACCUGCUUCU
Physeter macrocephalus (sperm whale) is the source of this 453-nucleotide long non-coding RNA. RefSeq lists it as uncharacterized. The record is from RefSeq and is a predicted model, not a curated record. NCBI's taxonomy places the organism in Eukaryota, Metazoa, Chordata, Mammalia, Artiodactyla, Physeteridae. The transcript is spliced from 4 exons.